Molecule: long non-coding RNA, 2806 nt
Organism: Episyrphus balteatus (marmalade hoverfly)
Lineage: Eukaryota; Metazoa; Arthropoda; Insecta; Diptera; Syrphidae
Exons: 3
Source: RefSeq, a predicted model, not a curated record
GUUAUUACAUUAAAAACAGGUACGUCGACUACGAGUAGGUAUUGUGAAUUCGUGCGUAACAGAAAGGGAGGGCAUUAUAAACCGCUAAGAUCGGCUGAAGUGCUUGUAUAGUUUGAAGAGAAUGAUGGUUGUAAUGUGCACGGAAACUUAUUAACUUUUGUGUGCUUUGAACACGCUCCACAAUAUGCUUAUCAUCUGCAGAUAUACCAAAGUCAAAAACUCCAGUUACACAACCCAAACGAGUAGUAGCGAUACUGAGCACAAAACAGCACAAAAAAAAUUAACUUCUGUCAGUGUAAUAUGUGAGCUCGAACUCUCAUAUCAAUUGCUGUUGCUGCUACUGCUCUCUGCUGCUGCUGCUACGACUAUUAACCCACAAGCAAGUGACUUGGAAUCGAUUGACAGUUUUGGAGAAAUCUACUUUGGCAGAAUGGUAAUUUAAAAUAUUUCGGAUUAAAAGUUAAUUCCAGGCGAUGCGAUGCAAAUAAACGCAAAACCUAUUGAAACUAUUUUUGAAAUUGGCUUUUCGAAGAAUUGCUUUUCGUAACGAAAAUAACGAGGAAAAACUUAUUUCUAGAAAUAAUUAAUUUCGAAAUUUUUAAGGGAAAAGCAUUAGAAUUGACAGAGUUCUUGGAACACGGAUUUGAACUGUGGAAUUCAUCGUAAAUCAACAUGAAAAUUGAUUCGCAAAAAAAGUAUCUAUAGUCAUUAGGUUAUAAAAAAAAAGAGGUUACCUGGAAUUUUAACGGGAGUUUAGAAAAUGGGUACUUUUAUAGAUUUCAAUGUUCUACGAUUUCAAUUUCCAAUUUCAACUUCGCCACCUUUUCUGUUCGUGCCACCAUAUAAGCAGUCCUGAGAGGCAUAGUAUUGAAAGGGAACAUGAUCCUGAUGGGGUAGCAUUAAUUCCUUAAAUUUCUUAUGUAGGUACUUAAUUUGAAAUUUAUUAACAAACAAAAAAAAAACAUAUCACACAUCCUCAUUUCUCUUGUCUGUGCUGCAAGGAAAGAUUUUCAAGGUCCAAAAGGGAAAAUCUUAUUAAUCUUUUUUUAAUGAUGAUAUUUGGGAAAUCCUACUGUGGGUAACUUGGCUACCUAUCAUGUAACAUUUGCAUAAAAUCUUCCCCGAAUAAAGAUCAAACGGACAAGAAUGACUGCAGCGUUGAAAACUAUGAACAUAUUGGCUGAUACAACACAAGAUAUUAAUACAACAAAGAAAGACAAAGCAGAGAAAGAACACACAACAGAAAGAACCCAUGACAACAGCCCCGAUCGGAAUAAUAAAAAAUUAUGCUUAAAUGUUUAAAAAAAAAAUAUCGUCGCUAUGCUGCCAAAACGCACUAAGUCAUAUUUUAAGGAUUUUUAGAUUUAAAUGCAAAACGGUUCAGAAUGAUGAUAUCGAUCUAGUAAAAUACCACACUAAGAAAUAUUUGGCGUACUUUAUGAAUUAUUUGAGGUAUAUUUUUGCACGAAGUCAGAAAAAAUAACUUUAAUACAGGCACAACGCACUAAGUUGACUUAGUGCUUUUUACCUGUAACGCAAAAAAAAUUAAAUUAGUACCAGUUUAUAGCAAGAGAAAGCAUUAAUGAGACUUAGUGCAUUUUUCCUGUCUUCAAAACAACAUUUUUAAAUUUGAAAAAUGACUUACAAAGUAUCUUGUGAGGUAAAUGUAAGAAAAAAGCGGUCAAAUGUAAAUAGAUUAAUACAAAUUAUAAGUUUAUCAGCGAGUAAAGACGACUUGAAUUUUCUAUAUGAAUCUUAAUAACCUUUUAAAAAUGAAUUAGAAUUCUCGUUCUUAACUGGCUUCAAAUUAAAUGUUUUCGAUACGAAAAAAAUAAACCGGGAAUACUUCAAACUUAAUAUGAAUUUGACCACAAUUUUCGAAACUUGAACAUUUUUAAGAAUUUUCGAAGAGGGAGAAAUACUGUUCCUAAUUAUCUGCCGGUAAAAAAAUGGCCAAGACUGUACAGGGUGCACCGAACCUCUUAAAUUAGAACAACUAGGAGAAAGACCUGAUUGAUAUAUGAGGUGUUCAGAGUAAUAAUGGGUUAAGUCCAUUUGAAAUUUGUGCAUUAUUUUGAACUUUGAAAAGCCUUUUCUCAAGAACUAAAGGAACUUUUGAAAUAAAGGUUUCACAGAUUUCUUUCUUGUAUAUUAUUUUAUAUAGAACAAAACCCUUAAUUUUAAAGACCUUUAAAAAUCCGACUUAUGUAUAGAGAAGUGGACUUCACCCUUUAUUAUUCUGAACGCCUCAUUUGUAAGAAAGGUGUUAUUCCUGAAAUUUUUCAUUCUUGGUUUUCAUCAUUACCAUCAAAAUGUUAGACAAAAGAUUUCCUUCCAGAACUAGAUGUAUUAGAUGGAAGAGAUUAUUUUAAAUUGCUUCCAUUUUUAAAGCCUUCUUUUAAUAGUUACUUGUUUUUAAUUCUUCUACGUUGUAAAAUUUCUGAUUUAACUAGGUAUAAUUGAGAUUUUGUAUUUACUUUUGUGCUAUAAUGUUGUUUCCUUUAACUUCAUAUGCCAGAAAAGUAUUCAUUACGAACAAAUAAUUGCAAAUCAUUACAGGUAAAAGGCACUAAGUCAUGGCUUUUUCUACUUUUGUUCACAUAAUUAUCAUUUUUGUUAUUCAAAAACCAAAAAAGUUUUUGGAAACUAAUGUCAAAAUGUUGAGUUUGUGUUAAAAGUGAUUAUCUGACAAAUAACAGUUAACAUUGAAUUUUCACAAGAGAAAUAAUCUUAAAAAUCGAUUUACUCAAAACUAUGUUUUUUGACUUAGUGCGUUUUGGCAGCAUAGCGACGAUAUAUUGAUUUA